UCCCUGGUGGCUGAGAGGGUAAAGCGUCUGCCUGCAAUGCUGGAGACCCGGGUUUGAUCCCUAGUUGGGAAG
This 72-nucleotide transfer RNA is filed under the name Bos taurus (domestic cattle). It matches the Rfam family "tRNA". Rfam says of the family: Transfer RNA (tRNA) molecules are approximately 80 nucleotides in length. Their secondary structure includes four short double-helical elements and three loops (D, anti-codon, and T loops). The record is from Rfam by way of RNAcentral. Lineage: Eukaryota; Metazoa; Chordata; Mammalia; Artiodactyla; Bovidae. RNAcentral also lists the same sequence under 5 other names.